Molecule: non-coding RNA, 135 nt
Organism: Hordeum vulgare subsp. vulgare (domesticated barley)
Lineage: Eukaryota; Viridiplantae; Streptophyta; Magnoliopsida; Poales; Poaceae
Source: Rfam
AUAAUACUCCCUCCGUCCCNAAAUUCUUGUCUUAAAUUUGUUUAGAUAUGAAUGUAUCUAGUGAAGUUUUAGCAUUUAGAACAUCAAUUUCUAGACAAAGCUAAGACAAGANNUUUGGGACGGAGGGAGUAUUUG